CUUUGCUUUGUGCUAAAGUCAACAGUGACAGAGUUUGAGCUCAAAUAAAUGCCGUGAUGUCUCCAGCCCUAAGCAGAAGGCUGAAGGCGAGGUUCCACAUUGGGCUCCUAGCUUGCCAGUAAGCAUCCACCGUAUUUCACAGCAGGGCUCCUUUGGGGAGGGCUCCAUGGAUGUGCCGUCAGAGAGGUUCCUUCAGAGAGAAGAGGUAUAGGAAGGAGAGGAGGCCAUAAUGAGAAGAGGAGAGGUUCGGACAGGAGAAGCAGAUGGAUCUGACACCACACCAAAUGGUCCCUUCUGUCGUGGGCUGUGCUGUGACCCACCCAUGGCAGCGGCCAGAUGGAGGUGGAAUGGGACCAAUGGGAUCAAUGCGGUGCUGCCUACAAUCUUCUCCCUGCAUCACCUCAGAUCCACAGACACAGAACCACAAAGGCACUUUCCUCUCUGAGUGCUUGUCUACCUGGCUACGUCUGCGUCUGACCUGUCUGGAUCUAUGACAUAUCAAAGCUUGUGUCAGGCAGCGUGAAUAGGGAGAAAGAGGCACCAUUAAUGAUUAACUGUUCUUAAAGCCUAUCAGGCGGCCAUGUGACAUGCUCGCAGCAUUUUUUGAGCAGAUUGGGGGAAGCUAGUGAGCAAACACAGGUGCUUUGGAUUGGAGUCGCCGACGCUGUUAGGGACAACCACAAACAAGAGCAGCACUGCCUAGCUAAAUGAGAGCCCACCCACUUUACUUACUCUCUGGCUAGCUUGGCUUAGUCACUGACUGCAGUGGCCGGAGAUCCUCACCAGAGACCAAGUCCAAUGUCCCCCCAGUGUUCCACAACCUUUCACACAAACAAAUAAAAGGGGAGGAUUGGAGUCGCUGUGGUCUCAAGCAUCGGGGAAAGCAAACAAAUGAAUUGUGUUUCAGUUCUCACUUUCUAAAAAAAACAAAUGUGGGUUGAACACUUGUUCUUGAGAAGCCUAGUGGAGGCAAUGAGAGAUAUUCAGAAGGUGCUAAGGGUGUUCAGAAAUAUGCAGGAUGACAAACUGAUUCUCUGGAAAUGGAGUGGUUGAUUUGAUUGUUUCAUUAAUGUUUCAUGACAGGUGGAUGACGAAUAGAUCAUAGAGACACAAAAGCAUAUUUCCUGUCAACAAAGUAAACUGUUUUGUUGUCCUGAUUUUAUUUCGAUUUUUCUGGAGUUGUUUUCAAGGUUUUAUAAACACGGUCUAGGUCCGGGCACUUAACCUUUUUCUCCUCAAUAACGUCUGUCCCUUUGUAAAACGACAGAGAGCGUUCUGUAGCACAACUUUGAUAACACAAUCAGAUGAUAUGAUGGCGUUAACUGAACACGGCUUUCCGGCAGCGAGAUAAAUGAACAGCACGAUAACGUGAACAAAAGCCUAGCUCUGAUUGGUAGGUCUAUGAUUGGAAAACAGGCAGCACAGAAAGUCUACACAAUAAGGUCAAUUCAUUAGAUUUGUUAUUUUCUACAUGACCUGGGUCAGACGGACACCUUUUGUAUCAGUCAAAUAUUUAUUUGUGUGUUUUACAGGUCUUUCGUUUCAUACCCAGCAAUUACAAUGAGCCUGUAAAGCACAGAUGAUAAAAGUGUUUUAAAACAAACACUCCAAAUCAACAGGAGAGGAAAUUAAGUUGUAAAGGCAGAGCGAGACAGAGAGAGAGAAGCAGAGAGAGAACAAGAGAGGGGGGGGGGGGGGGGUUAGAAACAGGGAAUGGACUCAGGGGGUAUGCUAAUUUGGUAUAGAGCAGACCUAACUCACUCUAUUAAAUUAAUCAAAACAGGAACAUUUUACAUUAGGCUAGAAAUUCAAAAGGAAAUUAUCUCAACAGAGAAAAAUGUCCUCCAUUGUGCUACCUAUAUCCCCCCACUAGAAUCCCCAUACUUUAAUGAAGACAGCUUCUCCAACCAGGAGGGGGAAAUCAAUCAUUUCCAGGCCCAGGGACAUGUACUAGUCUGUGACGACCUAAGUGCCAGAACUGGACAAGAACCUGACACCCUCAGCACACAGGUGGACAAACACCUACCUGGAGGAGACAGCAUUCCCUCCUCCAUAUGCCCCCCUAGGCACAACUAUGACAACAUAACCAACAAAAACGGGUCACAACUCCUGCGGCUCUGUCGCACGCUGGGUAUGUACGUAGUCAAUGAUAGGCUUCGAGGGGACUCCUAAGGUAGGAACACCUAUAGCUCAUCUCUUGGCAGUAGUACUGUAGACUACUUUAUCACUGACAUCAACCCAGAGUCACUCAGAGCGUUCUCAGUCAGCCCACUGACACCCCUAUCAGAUCACAGCAAAAUCACAGUCUACUUGAACAGAGCACUACUCUAUCAUGUCAAAGCUAAAGGAAAUUAAUAAUAUUAAGAAAUGCUAUAGAUGGAAGGAAAGUAGUGUGGAGACCUACCAAAAAACUAUUAGGUAACAACAAAUUCAAUCCCUUUUAGACAACUUCCUGGACAAAAUGUUUCAUUGUAAUAGUGAAGGUGUAAACUUGGCAGUAGAAAACCUAAACAGUAUAUUUUACCUCUCAGCUUCCCUAUCAAAUCUAAAAAUGUCAAACAGAAAACCGAAGAAAAUUAACAAUAAUGACAAAUGGUUUGAUGAAGAAUGCAAAAACCUAAGAAAGAAAUUGAGAAACCUAUCGAACCAAAAACAUAGAAACCCAGAAAACCUGAGCCUACGCCUUCACUAUGGUGAAUCACUAAAAUAAUACAGAAAUACACUACGGAGAAAAAAAAGGAACAGCAUGGCAGAAAUCAGCUCAAUGUAAUCCAUAGACUCUAACCACUUCUGGGAAAAUUGGAAAACACUAAACAAACAACAACAUAAAGAGUUAUCUAUUCAAAAUGGAGGUCUAUGGGUAAACCACUUCUCCAGUCUUGUUGGCCCUAUAACAAAGAAUAAACAGCAAAAACAUGAUACAUGAUACAAAAAAUAUACAUGAUCAAAUACAAAUCUUAGAAUCAACUAUUAAAGACUACCAGAACCCACUGGAUUCUCCAACUACAUUGAAUGAACUACAGGACAAAAUACAAACCCUCCAACCCCAAAAGGCCUGUGGUGUUGAUUGUAUCCUCAAUGAAAUGAUAAAAUAUGCACACCACAAAUUCCAAUUGGCUAUACUUAAACUUUGUAACAUCAUCAUUAGCUCUGGCAUCUUCCCCAUUAAUUGGAACCACAAAAGUGGAGACAAAUUUGACCCCAAUAACUAUCGUGGGAUAUGCAUCAACAGCAACCUUGGGAAAAUCCUCUGCAUUAUCAUUAACAUCAGACUUGUACAUUUCCUCAGUGAAAACAAUGUACUGAGCAAAUGUCAAAUUGGCUUUUCACCAGAUUACCGUAUGAUAAAAAACUCCAUUUGGCAUGAGAGUCUGCUUUGCAAAUUGAUGGAAAGUGGUGUUGGGGGAAAAAUAUACGACAAUAUAAAAUCCAUGUACACAAACAAGUGUGCGGUAAUUUUCUUAAUGUUAUUUCCACAGAGCCGUGGGGUGAGACAGGGAUGCAGCUUAAGCCCUACCCUCUUCAACAUAUAUAUCAACGAAUUGGCGAGGGCACUAGAACAGUCUGCAGCACCGGCCUCACCCUACAAGAAUCUGAAGUCAAAUGUCUACCAUUUGCUGAUGAUCUGGUGCUUCUGUCCACAAACAAGGACGGCCUACAACAGCACCUAGAUCUUCUGCACAGAUUCUGUCAGAUCUGGAACCUGAUCGUAAAUCUCAGUAAGACAAAAAUAAUGGUGUUCCAAAAAAAGUCCAGUUGCCAGGACCACAAAGACAAAUUCCAUCUAGACACUGUUGCCCUAGAGCGGUGGUUCCCAAACUUGAUAUAGUCCCGUACCCCUUCAAACAUUCAACCUCCAGCUGUACCCCCUCAGCGCACUCUCAAAUGUUGUUUUUUGACAUCAUUGUAAGCCUGCCACACACACACUAUACAAUACAUUUAUUAAACAUAAGAAUGAGUGUGAGUUUUUGUCACAACCCGGCUCGUGGGAAGUGACAAAGAGCACUUACAGGACCAAGGCACAAAAAAUUAUAUAAUAAUAAUCAAUAAUGUUUCUCUUUAUUUAUCCAUCUUACAUAUAAAACCUUAUUUGUUCAUCAAAAAUGGUGAAUAACUCACCACAGGUUAAUGAGAAGGGUAUGUUUGAAAGGAUGCACAUAACUCUGCAAUGUUGGGUUGUAUUGGAGAGAGUCUCAGUCUUAAAUCAUUUUCCACACACAGUCUGUGCCUGUAUUUAGUUUUCAUGCUAGCGAGGGCUGAGAAUCCACUCUCACAUAGGAACGUGGUUGCAAAAGGCAUCAGUGUCUUAACAGCAUGAUUUGUCAAGGCAGGAUAAUCUGAGCACAGCCCAAUCAGAAAUCUGGCAGUGACUUCUGAUUCAAUUACAUUUUCACAGAACCGCUUGUUGCAACUUCAAUGAGGCUCUCUUGUUCAGAUAUCGGUAAGUGGACUGGAGGCAGGACAUGAAAGGGAUAACGAAUCCAGUUGUUUGCGUCAACCGUUUCGGGAAAGUACCUGCAUAAUUGUGAAUCCAACUCACUAAGGUGCUUUGCUAUAUCACAUUUGACAUUUUCCCUAAGCUUGAGUUCAUUUGCACACAAAAAAUCAUACAAUGAUGGAAAGACCUGUAUGUUGUCUUUCCAUCUUUCCAACUUUUUAAUCAUAGCUUCAAUUUUGUCUUGCACAUUGAGUAUAGUUGCGGAGAGUCCCUGUAAUCCUAGAUUCAGAUAAUUCAGGUGAGAAAAAACAUCACCCAGAUAGGCCAGUCGUUUGAGAAACUCGUCAUCAUGCAAACGGUCAGACAAGUGGAAAUGAUGGUCAGUAAAGAAAACUUUAAGCUCGUCUCUCAAUUCCCAAAAAUUUGCCAAUACUUUGUCUCUUGAUAACCAGUGCACUUCUGUAUGUUGUAAAAGCUUUACGUGGCCGCUGCCCAUAUCAAUGCAAAGUGCAGAAAAUACACAAGAGUUCAGGGGCCUUGCUUCAACAAAGUUAACCAUUUUCACUGUAGUGUCCAAAACAUAUUUCAAGCUGUCAUUCAUUCCCUUGGCAGCAAGAGCCUCUCAGUGGAUGCUGCAGUGUACCCAAGUGGCGUCGGGAGCAACUGCUUGCACACGCGUUACUACUCCACUAUGUCUCCCUGUUAUGGCUUGAUUGAUGUGAUUGGAUAUUAAUUAUUUGACUAGGCUACCUGUAUUUGACAUUGUGUUGUUAUUUCGCUGAACACUAGAUGGUUGAAUUUUAUUUUUGGCAGUGAAACGAGGCUACUCAGGCAAGAAAAAAAACUCACCCAAAUGUAUUGCCCCGUUGGAAAAUAUAAAUGGACUGUUUGAAAAUGUUAUGAAAUAUAUAAAUAAAAAAAGUGAAUCACAUUUUUAUUUGGCGUACCCCUGACGGCAUUGGGCGUACCCCUGGGGAAUACCUACCCUAGAGCACACAAAAAAAUAUACAUAUCUCGUCCUCAACAUACCCUCCCUGGGACUCGAGGGCGCCAGGCUAACCUUCUUUACAUGCACCUGUCACCAUCAUUACGCGCAACAGCGCUCAUUGGACUCACCUGGACUCCUUCACGUGGUUGAUUGCCCCCUGUAUAUCUGUCUGUUCCUCUGUGGUGUUCCCCGUGUCCACAUUAAUGGUUGUUAUGUGUUCCUGUCCAGACGCAGUUCCUGUUCCAUUUCAUAUCCGUCAGCUAUUAAACCUUCACUCCCUGUACCUGCUUCUCAUCUCCUGCGUCGAUCCUUACACGCCACAGGUAACUUCCACAAAGCUGUGAACGAUCUGAGAGACAAGGCAAGAAGGCCCUUCUAUGUCACCAAAAGGAACAUAAAAUUCGACAUACCAAUUCGGAUCUGGCUAAAAAUACUUGAAUCAGUUAUUGAACCCAUUGCCAUUUAUGGUUGUGAGGUCUGGGAACCGCUUACCAAAUGGGACAAACACCAAAUUGAGACUCUGCAUGCAGAAUUCUGCAAAAAUAUCCUCGGUGUACAACAUAAACCACCAAAUAAUGCAUGCAGAGUAUAAUUAGGCCGAUACCUACUAAUUAUCAAAAUACAGAAAAGAGACGUUAAAUUCUACAACCACCUAAAAGGAAGCGAUUCCCAAACCUUCCAUAACAAAGUCAUCACCUACAGAGAGAUGAACCUGUAGAAGAGUCCCCUAAGCAAGCUAGUCAGCAACCCAAUUAGACCCAACCAAAUCAUGUGUCACGCCUUAGUUGUCUAUGUUUUCUGUAUUAUUUUGGUCAGGUCAAGGUGUGACGAGGGUGGGUAUGCGUGUUUUGUCUUGUCUAAGGUUUUUGUAGAUCUAUGUUUUUUUUGUAAGUCUAGGUAUUGUAGGUUUAUGGUGACCUGAAUUGGUUCCCAAUCAGAGGCAGCUGUUUAUCGUUGUCUCUGAUUGGGGAUCCUAUUUAGGUUGCCAUUUUCCCUUUUGGUUUUGUGGGUUCUUGUCUAUGUGUAGUUGUCUGUCAGCACUCGUUUUAUAUAGCUUCACGGUCGUUUUUGUUACUUUGUUAGUUUGUUUAGUGUUUUUUCUUCAUUAAAAGAAGAAUGUAUUCAUA
Molecule: long non-coding RNA, 6553 nt
Organism: Salvelinus fontinalis (brook trout)
Lineage: Eukaryota; Metazoa; Chordata; Actinopteri; Salmoniformes; Salmonidae
Exons: 3
Source: RefSeq, a predicted model, not a curated record